RNAcentral lists this unclassified non-coding RNA (393 nucleotides) under soil metagenome. RNAcentral's name for it is "partial contains 5.8S ribosomal RNA, internal transcribed spacer 2, and large subunit ribosomal RNA". The stretch from base 1 to 122 matches the Rfam family "5.8S ribosomal RNA", at positions 35 to 154 of the family's 154-position model. The record is from RNAcentral.
GAUGAAGAACGUAGCGAAAUGCGAUACUUGGUGUGAAUUGCAGAAUCCCGUGAACCAUCGAGUCUUUGAACGCAAGUUGCGCCCGAAGCCACUAGGCCGAGGGCACGCCUGCCUGGGCGUCACACGUCGUUGCCCCCCCCCCAUCUACUCCUUCAGGAUUGCGGGGGGCGGAUGAUGGCCUCCCGUGCGCCUAGCCGCGCGGUUGGCAUAAAUACCAAGUCCUCGGCGACGCACGCCACGACAAUCGGUGGUUGCGAAACCUCGGUUGCCCGUCGUGUGCGUUCGUCGCGCAUCGAGGGCUCGAAAAAAUGCUCGGCUCCGGCUCGGCUUUCAACGCGACCCCAGGUCAGGCGGGGUUACCCGCUGAAUUUAAGCAUAUCAAUAAGCGGAGGA